AACACAUGCAAGUCGAGGGGCAGCGAGAUUGAAGCUUGCUUCAAUUGUCGGCGACCGGCGCACGGGUGAGUAACACGUAUCCAACCUACCGUUUACUCUCGGAUAGCCUUCCGAAAGGAAGAUUAAUACGGGAUGGUAUUGNGGGUUCACAUGUUCUCUCAAUUAAAGAAUUUCGGUAAACGAUGGGGAUGCGUUCCAUUAGAUAGUAGGCGGGGUAACGGCCCACCUAGUCGACGAUGGAUAGGGGUUCUGAGAGGAAGGUCCCCCACAUUGGAACUGAGACACGGUCCAAACUCCUACGGGAGGCAGCAGUGAGGAAUAUUGGUCAAUGGACGAGAGUCUGAACCAGCCAAGUAGCGUGAAGGAUGAAGGUCCUAUGGAUUGUAAACUUCUUUUAUACAGGAAUAAAGUGAGGUACGUGUACCUUUUUGUAUGUACUGUAUGAAUAAGCAUCGGCUAACUCCGUGCCAGCAGCCGCGGUAAUACGGAGGAUGCGAGCGUUAUCCGGAUUUAUUGGGUUUAAAGGGAGCGCAGACGGUUUGUUAAGUCAGUUGUGAAAGUUUGGGGCUCAACCUUAAAAUUGCAAUUGAUACUGGCAGACUUGAGUGCAGAUGAGGUAGGCGGAAUUCGUGGUGUAGCGGUGAAAUGGCUUAGAUAU
This 658-nucleotide ribosomal RNA is filed under the name uncultured Bacteroidales bacterium. Its description in RNAcentral is "bacterial SSU rRNA". It matches the Rfam family "Bacterial small subunit ribosomal RNA", at positions 50 to 697 of the family's 1533-position model. The record is from RNAcentral. Lineage: Bacteria; Pseudomonadati; Bacteroidota; Bacteroidia; Bacteroidales.